This 459-nucleotide ribosomal RNA is filed under the name Triticum aestivum (bread wheat). Its description in RNAcentral is "partial small subunit ribosomal RNA". The record is from RNAcentral. Lineage: Eukaryota; Viridiplantae; Streptophyta; Magnoliopsida; Poales; Poaceae.
AUGGGAGUAAAUGCCGGAUUCAAAAGCUCUCGGCCAGGUCAAAAGCCGCCCACUAAAGGCACCAGGGAUGAACUGUCCAGCCUCAACAAAAUUCUGGACCAAGUAUGUCAGAUCCACAGUACCCCGGGUAAACCUGCUAAUCAUACCCAUAGAGAAUGUUGGGUCUUCAAGCAGUCUGGCAAGCUCAACGCCAUACACAAGGGGGAGGACACACCAAGUGAAGACGAGGGCGAGCCCCCCAAGCAAGACACGGGGGAACAAAAGAAAUUCCCACUAGAAGUCAAAACAAUAAACGUACUACACAUGAUCAAGGGAAAAACAAUGUGGCACCCCCAGGAAAAUAUACCCAAGUGCCUGUCACCUCGAAGUCCUGCCAAUGGUCGUCUCAACCGAUCACUUUUUACCAUCGUGAUUACUCAGCAAGUAUCCGACACGCAGGAUGGGCUGCCUUGGUAUUAG